UUUUAUAAGGACAGAGCUGUAGGGAGCC
Molecule: non-coding RNA, 28 nt
Filed under: Cricetulus griseus (Chinese hamster)
Lineage: Eukaryota; Metazoa; Chordata; Mammalia; Rodentia; Cricetidae
Source: RNAcentral